GAACUUCGCCCACGCCCCCCGCCAAGGCUAUAGCCCACCCGUUUUUUGGCCAUUUUUCCGCUGGGGGGUGUUGGCGCCCCGACCUUCGGGCUCUCAUUUUUGGGCGCGGCUGUGCCCGUGGCCUAUUUUUGGCACACGGAGGCCGCCCGCAAAGUCUUGGGCCAUUCCGAGUCUGGCGGACGAACUUCGCCCACGCCCCCCGCCAAGGCUAUAGCACACCCGUUUCUUGGCCAUUUUUCCGCUGGGGGGUGCUGGCGCCCCGACCUUCGGGCGCUCAUUUUUGGGCGCGGCUGUGCCCGUGGCCUAUUUUUGGCACACGGAGGCCGCCCGCAAAGUCGGGGGCCAUUCCGAGUCCGGCGGACGAACUUCGCCCACGCCCCCCACCAAGGCUAUAGGCCACCCAUUUUUCGGCCAAUUUUCCGCUGGGGGGUGUUGGCGCCCCGACCUUCGGGUGCUCAUUUUUGGGCGCGGCUGUGCCCGUGGCCUAUUUUUGGCACACGGAGGCCGCCCGCAAAGUCUUGGGCCAUUCCGAGUCCGGCGGACGAACUUCGCCCACGCCCCCCGCCAAGGCUAUAGCACACCCGUUUCUUGGCCAUUUUUCCGCUGGGGGGUGCUGUCGCCCCGACCUUCGGGCGCUCAUUUUUGGGCGCGGCUGUGCCCGUGGCCUAUUUUUGGCACACGGAGGCCGCCCGCAAAGUCUGGGGCCAUUCCGAGUCCGGCGGACGAACUUCGCCCACGCCCCCCACCAAGGCUAUAGGCCACCCAUUUUUCGGCCAAUUUUCCGCUGGGGGGUGUUGGCGCCCCGACCUUCGGGCGCUCAUUUUUGGGCGCGGCUGUGCCCGUGGCCUAUUUUUGGCACACGGAGGCCGCCCGCAAAGUCUGGGGCCAUUCCGAGUCCGGCGGACGAACUUCGCCCACGCCCCCCACCAAGGCUAUAGCCCACACGUUUUUUGGCCAUUUUUCCGCUGGGAGGUGUUGGCGCCCCGACCUUCGGAUGCUCAUUUUUGGGCGCGGCUGUGCUCGUGGCCUAUUUUUGGCGCACGGAGGCCGCCCGCAAAGUCUGGGGCCAUUCCGAGUCCGGCGGACAAACUUCGCCCACGCCCCCCACCAAGGCUAUAGGCCACCCGUUUGUCGGCCAAUUUUCCGCUGGGGGGUGUUGGCGCCCCGACCUUCCGGCGCUCAUUUUUCGGCGCGGCUAUGCCCGUGGCCUAUAUUUGGCACACGGAGGCCGCCCGCAAAGUCUGGGGCCAUUCCGAGUCCGGCGGACGAACUUCGCCCACGCCCCCCGCCAAGGCUAUAGCACACCCGUUUCUGGGCCAUUUUUCCGCUGGGGGGUGUUGGCGCCCCAACCUUCGGGCGCUCAUUUUUGGGCGCGGCUGUGCCCGUGGCCUAUUUUUGGCACACGGAGGCCGCCCGCAAAGUCUGGGGCCAUUCCGAGUCCGGCGGACGAACUUCGCCCACGCCCCCGGCCAAGGCUAUAGCACACCCGUUUCUGGGCCAUUUUUCUGCUGGGGGGUGUUGGCGCCCCGACCUUCGGGCGUUCAUUUUUGGGCGCGGCUGUGCCCGUGGCCUAUUUUUGGCACACGGAGGCCGCCCGCAAAGUCUGGGGCCAUUCCGAGUCCGGCGGACGAACUUCGCCCACGCCCCCCGCCAAAGGCUAUAGCCCACCCGUUUUUUGGCCAUUUUUCCGCUGGGGGGUGUUGGCGGCCCGAUCUUCGGGCGCUCAUUAUUGGGCGCGGCUGUGCCCGUGGCCUAUUUUUUGCACACGGAGGCCGCCCGCAAAGUCUGGGGCCAUUCCGAGUCCGGCGGACGAACUUCGCCCACGCCCCCCUCCAAGGCUAUAGCCGACCCGUUUUU
Molecule: long non-coding RNA, 1857 nt
Filed under: Citrus x clementina
Lineage: Eukaryota; Viridiplantae; Streptophyta; Magnoliopsida; Sapindales; Rutaceae
Description: Citrus clementina (C. clementina) long non-coding RNA (CCLE_LNC005147)
Source: RNAcentral